This 254-nucleotide ribosomal RNA is filed under the name uncultured bacterium. Its description in RNAcentral is "partial 16S ribosomal RNA". It matches the Rfam family "Bacterial small subunit ribosomal RNA", at positions 524 to 776 of the family's 1533-position model. The record is from RNAcentral.
UACGAAGGGGGCUAGCGUUGCUCGGAAUCACUGGGCGUAAAGCGCACGUAGGUGGGUCGUUAAGUCGGGGGUGAAAUCCUGGAGCUCAACUCCAGAACUGCCUUCGAUACUGGCGAUCUUGGAGUCCGGGAGAGGUGAGUGGAACUGCGAGUGUAGAGGUGAAAUUCGUAGAUAUUCGCAAGAACACCAGUGGCGAAGGCGGCUCACUGGCCCGGUACUGACGCUGAGGUGCGGAAGCGUGGGGAGCAAACAGG